This 222-nucleotide ribosomal RNA is filed under the name uncultured bacterium. RNAcentral describes it as "partial 16S ribosomal RNA". It matches the Rfam family "Bacterial small subunit ribosomal RNA", at positions 524 to 744 of the family's 1533-position model. The record is from RNAcentral.
UACGUAGGGUGCAAGCGUUAAUCGGAAUUACUGGGCGUAAAGCGUGCGCAGGCGGUUAUGUAAGACAGGUGUGAAAUCCCAGGGCUUAACCUUGGAACUGCAUUUGUGACUGCAUAGCUAGAGUACGGUAGAGGGGGAUGGAAUUCCGCGUGUAGCAGUGAAAUGCGUAGAUAUGCGGAGGAACACCGAUGGCGAAGGCAAUCCCCUGGACCUGUGACUGAC